This 426-nucleotide ribosomal RNA is filed under the name uncultured bacterium. RNAcentral describes it as "bacterial SSU rRNA". It matches the Rfam family "Bacterial small subunit ribosomal RNA", at positions 354 to 796 of the family's 1533-position model. The record is from RNAcentral.
GCAAGGAAUUUUCCGCAAUGGGCGAAAGCCUGACGGAGCAACGCCGCGUGGGGGAGGAAGCUUUUCGGAGUGUAAACCUCUUUUCUUGGGGACGACGAACGACGGUACCCGAGGAAUAAGGACCGGCUAACUACGUGCCAGCAGCCGCGGUAAUACGUAGGGUCCGAGCGUUGUCCGGAGUUACUGGGCGUAAAGCGCGCGCAGGCGGCUCGUCAAGUCUGGCGUGAAAGCCCCCGGCUCAACCGGGGAGGGUCGUCGGAGACUGGCGAGCUUGAGGGCGGUAGGGGCUGGUGGAAUUCCCGGUGUAGUGGUGAAAUGCGUAGAGAUCGGGAGGAACACCUGUGGCGAAGGCGGCCAGCUGGGCCGUCCCUGACGCUGAGGCGCGAAGGCGUGGGGAGCGAACGGGAUUAGAAACCCCAGUAGUCC